UGUUAGAGAAGAAGAAGUGAGGGUUUGUUGACAUUAUCCACCAAAAUCAGGUCGUCUAUUGGGACUGCUUCCAUUGCUCUCCCUGGAAAUUAUUAAAGGAACACUAAUUCUGCCCGAAAAAGCCUUUUAUUAUUGUUAAACAACAGUUGGCUAGGGAAAGCUUGUGCAAUAUAAUUGUCAGAAGCUUUUGUGCACGCGAUCAAGCGCGUGCUUCGAAACACGAGUAAUACGGUUACAGAAGCUCCUUCAAAUCUUAAUAAGUGAGAGAGCACCUAGAAACACCUUUCGUAGGAUUGGCUCAUCUCGAAAAUAUAAAACUCUAUAGGCCAAAGUGUAAGUGUAUUCAGAAGAAAUAUUUAAAUACUUAUCUUGAAAAAUUGCCUGAGCUGGUAGGAAGACAGUGACACGGAGAACGUCGAAGGAAGAUUAAAUGUGCUAUGAAAUUCGUUUCUCCUUCCCUAUUUUAUUCAAACGAAAAUGAGCGACGAAUCAACACAGGAGUCUCAAAAACCAAACGGGUCUCCCAAUCCACCUUUCAAAGGAUCUGGUAAAACCCAGCAGAAAUCUCUUUGCAGAAUAAUACUUAUCAGAGCAUGGAUGGUGACUGCAAUAUUUUUAUUUGCUACAGGAAUGAUCUUACUUAUUUUCGGAGCAAUUUACUGGAAGAAAAACAUAGAUUUCUGUUGAACAAAAUUAAUUUUGCACCGCUGGCCAGUGCCGAAACUCUUACCCCGUCGCUGAGGUCAUCUUUCGCAAGUAUAAGUACCGCUAUCUAGUGUGUAACAAACAAAUCCUUAGUUACUUUUACUCCUCGCCUAAAUUAAUGUGUAAAAAAUAGUAUUAUCAUUAUGUUUAUUGAUAUAAUAGUAAUGGGGACUACAAACGUUUUAUCCAACUGUCAGGGUUUACAUAUGGUGAAUAAGUUAAGAAAUGAAAAGUUUAAAUACAGGCAAAAACAUACUAAACAGCAACCUCGCGAUAGCUUAGCGUUAAUCAUGAGAACUUGAAACGAUAAAACUAGAGGUUCGAUCCCUGUGGUAGACACAGCACAGAUAGCCCACCGUGCAUAUUUGUGCUUAAUUACAAAUAAACAGCAGUUGUCGAAACUUAUGCUUAUCUAAUCACUUCUGUAUUCCUUUAUAGUGUGCAGUGUUGUAAUGUAUAUUUCUUCUUCUUUUCAUUUUGCCCACCAGUGGCACAGCGGUAUGUCUGCAGACUUACAACGCUA
This 1228-nucleotide unclassified non-coding RNA is filed under the name Limulus polyphemus (Atlantic horseshoe crab). Its description in RNAcentral is "uncharacterized LOC111085850, transcript variant X4". The record is from RNAcentral. Lineage: Eukaryota; Metazoa; Arthropoda; Merostomata; Xiphosura; Limulidae.